Molecule: non-coding RNA, 68 nt
Organism: Rattus norvegicus (Norway rat)
Lineage: Eukaryota; Metazoa; Chordata; Mammalia; Rodentia; Muridae
Source: Rfam
GGGGAUUUAGCUCAGUGGUAGAGCGCUUGCCUAGCAAGCGCAAGGCCCUGGGUUCGAUCCCCAGCUCG